GAUGAACGCUGGCGGCGUACCUAAUACAUGCAAGUCGAGCGAACAGACGAGGAGCUUGCUCCUCUGACGUUAGCGGCGGACAGGUGAGUAACACGUGGAUAACCUACCUAUAAGACUGGGAUAACUUCGGGAAACCGGAGCUAAUACCGGAUAAUAUAUUGAACCGCAUGGUUCAAUAGUGAAAGACGGUUUUGCUGUCACUUAUCGAUGGAUCCGCGCCGCAUUAGCUAGUUGGUAAGGUAACGGCUUACCAAGGCAACGAUGCGUAGCCGACCUGAGAGGGUGAUCGGCCACACUGGAACUGAGACACGGUCCAGACUCCUACGGGAGGAAGCAGUAGGGAAUCUUCCGCAAUGCGCGAAAGCCUGACGGAGCAACGCCGCGUGAGUGAUGAUGGUCUUCGGAUCGUAAAACUCUGUUAUUAGGGAAGAACAAAUGUGUAAGUAACUAUGCACGUCUUGACGGUACCUAAUCAGAAAGCCACGGCUAACUACGUG
This 497-nucleotide ribosomal RNA is filed under the name uncultured bacterium. Its description in RNAcentral is "partial 16S ribosomal RNA". It matches the Rfam family "Bacterial small subunit ribosomal RNA", at positions 28 to 507 of the family's 1533-position model. The record is from RNAcentral.